Molecule: ribosomal RNA, 496 nt
Filed under: uncultured bacterium
Lineage: Bacteria
Description: partial 16S ribosomal RNA
Rfam family: Bacterial small subunit ribosomal RNA
Source: RNAcentral
GAUGAACGCUGGCGGCGUGCCUAAUACAUGCAAGUCGAGCGAACGGACGAGAAGCUUGCUUUUCUGAUGUUAGCGGCGGACGGGUGAGUAACACGUGGAUAACCUACCUAUAAGACUGGGAUAACUUCGGGAACCGGAGCUAAUACCGGAUAAUAUUUUGAACCGCAUGGUUCAAAAGUGAAAGACGGUCUUGCCGUCACUUAUAGAUGGAUCCGCGCUGCAUUAGCUAGUUGGUAAGGUAACGGCUUACCAAGGCAACGAUGCAUAGCCGACCUGAGAGGGUGAUCGGCCACACUGGAACUGAGACACGGUCCAGACUCCUACGGGAGGCAGCAGUAGGGAAUCUUCCGCAAUGGGCGAAAGCCUGACGGAGCAACGCCGCGUGAGUGAUGAAGGUCUUCGGAUCGUAAAACUCUGUUAUUAGGGAAGAACAUAUGUGUAAGUAACUGUGCACAUCUUGACGGUACCUAAUCAGAAAGCCACGGCUAACUACGUG